This 274-nucleotide ribosomal RNA is filed under the name uncultured bacterium. Its description in RNAcentral is "partial 16S ribosomal RNA". It matches the Rfam family "Bacterial small subunit ribosomal RNA", at positions 523 to 796 of the family's 1533-position model. The record is from RNAcentral.
CUACGGAGGGUGCGAGCGUUACUCGGAAUCACUGGGCGUAAAGCGCGCGCAGGCGGCUUGAUAAGUUGGAUGUGAAAGCCUACGGCUCAACCGUAGAACUGCAUCCAAAACUGUCAGGCUAGAGUGUGGGAGAGGAAGAUGGAAUUAGUUGUGUAGGGGUAAAAUCCGUAGAGAUAACUAGGAAUACCAAAAGCGAAGGCAAUCUUCUGGAACACUACUGACGCUGAGGCGCGAAGGCGUGGGGAGCAAACAGGAUUAGAAACCCUAGUAGUCC